This 47-nucleotide ribosomal RNA is filed under the name Hypoxylon sp. MA156. RNAcentral's name for it is "partial 28S ribosomal RNA". Lineage: Eukaryota; Fungi; Ascomycota; Sordariomycetes; Xylariales; Hypoxylaceae. The record is from RNAcentral.
GACCUCGGAUUAGGUAGGAAUACCCGCUGAACUUAAGCAUAUCAAAA